This 464-nucleotide ribosomal RNA is filed under the name uncultured bacterium. RNAcentral describes it as "partial 16S ribosomal RNA". It matches the Rfam family "Bacterial small subunit ribosomal RNA", at positions 338 to 795 of the family's 1533-position model. The record is from RNAcentral.
CCUACGGGGUGCAGCAGUAGGGAAUUUUCGUCAAUGGGCGCAAGCCUGAACGAGCAAUGCCGCGUGAACGAGGAAGGUCUUCGGAUCGUAAAGUUCUGUUGAAGGGGAAAAAGAGCGGAGAGAGGAAAUGGUCUCCGAUUGAUAUUACCCUUCGAGGAAGUCACGGCUAACUACGUGCCAGCAGCCGCGGUAAUACGUAGGUGGCGAGCGUUAUCCGGAAUGAUUGGGCGUAAAGGGUGCGUAGGCGGCCUGCGAAGUCUGGAGUGAAAGGUACCGGCUCAACCGGUACAGGCUCUGGAAACUGGCGGGCUAGAGAGCAGGAGAGGGCGGUGGAACUCCAUGUGUAGCGGUAAAAUGCGUAGAUAUAUGGAAGAACACCAGUGGCGAAGGCGGCCGCCUGGCCUGUUACUGACGCUGAGGCACGAAAGCGUGGGGAGCAAAUAGGAUUAGAUACCCCAGUAGUC